This is a long non-coding RNA of Equus caballus (horse), 2581 nucleotides long. NCBI's taxonomy places the organism in Eukaryota, Metazoa, Chordata, Mammalia, Perissodactyla, Equidae. The record is from Ensembl.
UUGUGCUACUUUUGCAAGCUCAGCUCACAGCCGGCCUUCAUGAUAGGAGGUGGGCUAAAGGCCGUGGCUGGAGGGUCCAGGGACUGUGAUUUUGUUUUCCAUCUUCAUCUGCCCAAGUCCUUUCCUGCCUUUAGGCUUCUGCAGCUCUUGUCUUUGCUCUAGGAAACCUUCUCUGACCCUUUAAGAUCCGGUCAAGUUUCUGUCGGAUGUGCCAAACACCCCGUCCUUAAUCUUAUGAGCAUUUAUUAUGCUGUACUGUCACAGUUUCUUUAGGUAUCUUUUUCCCUCACUGGACUGUAGACACCUCGGGGCAGGACAGAAUCUUAUUCACCAUCCGAUACUCAGCUCCUAGCACACUAUUGAGCUCAUAGUAGGUGCUCAAUUAAUUGAUGACCUUCAUGAAUGUAUGACUACUUUAUAAAUGAGUUAUACAGGUAACUUUGUAGGUCUACAACUCCAUAUGACACAGAGGCCUGAGGCUAUAGAUGAACACUGCUGAAGUGGCACAAGUUGCUGAUAUCAAGGGUUUCAGUUAAGACAAUAGUCACGGGAGCAGAAAGGAAGGCUCUCUAGCCCCAGAGCUCUGGUCUGGAUCUCCUCCUGCCUGGGCCUUGAAUACUUGCUCAAAGCCCUUAGGCUACAGUGAAUUUUUCUGGAGCUUUGCCUUAUAUAGCUUUGCUCAAGAUAAAAGCAGUGUUUAAGGAAACAUUUGGGCAAUGUCUCAGGGCAGCCAACUUGAGCAAUUUCAAAAACACUGUUUUACUCUGCAGCCUGGGCUGUGGAUAAGAUUUACUCACUGCGUUUCAGAGCCUCGGUCACUGUCCAGAUCCGAGUCUCAGGGGUCUGUCUCUGGGGUAAGAGUUAAGCUCUCACAGUGCUCUCAAAGUUGCUUCAUAAGUCUUUGGCUUUAACAUGACAGUGGCCAUCUGUCCUAGCCAAUCCCUGGGGGAAAUGUUAGAAGAAGCAGCACAUUGACAUUCGGGCUAGAGGAAGCAGGGUGCCAAAGCCCACAUGGAAAGACUUUUCCAGGGUUAUCCUCACUGUGUCCACGGUGGGAACCUGGGACCGAGAGCUUGAUGGGCUCAGAGGCUGCUGGGGUGGGCAUGAGAGUAUUUGUUUCUAUAGAAAUGUUGCUAUAGGAUGUCUGUAGGGCCUUUGAAAGUUGACACCAGCUUUGCCCUGAAAACCAUGUGGUGCCCUUUCACAAUGUUCCCUAUGCCUUUUUAUUACCAAAGAAGUUUUCUGGUAGCUGUCCUGUCUCCAGCCUGAAACUCACUGAUGUUCUGUGAAAAUACGACAGAGACUUCAGAAUUCGAAGCCAGGUUUCUCCUUUCCAGGAGGGGGGCCUUAGUAUCCAUACACUGUAAAGAACGAGAAGCUUGCCUCCAGUGCCCUUGGCACUUUUCUGGCCCCUCCCUCCUCUCCUCCAGGCCAGAUCUGUCCCCUGGGGCCUGGCUCUCAGCCUGUUGUCAACUAAUCCAUGCUAAGGUGUUAGGUGGCAAAGGCUCAAGGGUUAUUAAUCCUUGUAGGAGCUUUCCGCAUUAAACAAAGUUUUGUUACUAAAUCAAAGGGCAUUAAAAAAUCAUCACCAUAACGUAAAAACAAUUUCUUUGUGUUCCCUAUAAAUCUUUACCUUUGUAAGUGAAUAUAGUUAUGAUUAUAACAUAUAUGCAGUAUUUGGGGUUUUUUUCACACAGAAGUACAUUUUGCACAUUUCUUUACAUGUCUAAAUGUCCCAUUUUCAUCCUCAUAAUAGUUUGAAGGUACUUUUUGCAGCAUCUGCCCAUCCCAUGAUGACUUCUCCCCUGCAAAGCCAACUGCCUUCUCUCCUUACCAGCCUCCCCACCAAUGAAGUGGGCCGGGGUAGGGGACCAUUGUGUUGCUGUGACCCGUGCCUCCACCUAUGCCUAACCUCUGCCACAGCUGAAUGAACAGGACUAGCACUAGAUUCAAGUUGGACAACUCCCUGAGGAGGACACAGCUGCAGAUGUGAAAGAGAGCAAGUUAUUCCAGUUAAGGUCGGCGGGAACUCAGCCUGAAAACCUUCCGUCUCGAUCCGCCUUCUUCAGACAGGAUGAUAUGGGUGAAGGAACAUUUUCAUGCUGAUUCCACCCACCUUUGGCCAAACCUCAUCCCUUUGUUGAAUGGUUGCCAAGAUAAAUGCAGAAGUUGCAUCUUAGGCAAAGUGUGGGCUGCUCCAGUCAGCUGAAAUUGAGUAAAAGGGUGCUGCUAGCCCUUUAAAAACAGGCACAAAGCCACAUUUUGGAGCCUGCUUUGCCCCUGUGGUGGCAUCUGAGGCCUGCAAAUGAGUAUGAUUCUGGAAUUUUGCACUUCAGGAUCAGUUAUUCAGAUGGAUAGUUGAAGUCCAUGUGCUGAAUGAGGACAGAGAGGAAAAUGGUGCCAUUUACCCUCCCCCCACCCCAACAUCCCAAACAGCUCUCCUUCAUUUUUUAAAAACAACAAAAUUAAAAUUAUCCUGGAAUCUUCUUUGCAAAAAUCACAUAUUUUAGACUUGUUUCAAGACUCAGACUGAAACGAAUUUGUUUAAAAAAAAUUGUCUGUAUUUGAUGUGGGAGACUAG